GCGAGGGUUGCCGAGCCAGGUCAAAGGCGAUAGGUUCAGGGCCUAUUCUCGAAGGGGUUCGCCGGUUCGAAUCCGGCCUCUCGCA
Molecule: transfer RNA, 85 nt
Filed under: Methanocalculus sp.
Lineage: Archaea; Methanobacteriati; Methanobacteriota; Methanomicrobia; Methanomicrobiales; Methanocalculaceae
Description: tRNA-Leu
Rfam family: tRNA
About the family: Transfer RNA (tRNA) molecules are approximately 80 nucleotides in length.
Source: RNAcentral